This is a long non-coding RNA of Dendrobium catenatum, 1095 nucleotides long. RefSeq lists it as uncharacterized. The transcript has 5 exons. NCBI's taxonomy places the organism in Eukaryota, Viridiplantae, Streptophyta, Magnoliopsida, Asparagales, Orchidaceae. The record is from RefSeq and is a predicted model, not a curated record.
CUUAGUGAAAUAAAUGAGGAAGAGUGUAGGCUCUCUAGAUCGGCAAAGGGGGUGGCUGAGAUGAAGUUCGGGUCUGGAGCUUUGGUUGGUGGGGAAUCGGAAAACAGGAGCUAGGGCAGAGUUUGGCGCCGGGUAGGGGAGCGUCUGCUAGAGUCGGAUCGAGCGGCUUGGUGGAGAUCGGAGGAAGGAGCUCGGCUGCGAGUGGGUAACUUUUUUCGGACGUUACAACAUUUUGAUCUGAAGCAACGACGGUAGCUCGCUCGCUGUGAAGCCCCUUGGUCUCCUUGGCCGACGGGUGUUCUCGCGCUCUACGUCCCGAACGAACAGCUGCCGGCGCCGCUCGUCGUGCUCGACUGCUGGUUACUUGAACUCGUCGCGUAUUUGGUCUCCUUGGCCGACGGGUGUUCUCGCGCUCUACGUCCCGAUCGAACAGCUGCCGGCGCCGCUCGUCGUGCUCGACUGCUGGUUUCUUGAAUUCGUCGCGUAUUUGGUCUCCUUGGCUCGACGGGUGUUUUUCGUCUUCUCUCCGUCUGGAAACCGAAGGUGUUCUCGCGCAGACGUCCCGAUCGAACAGUUGCCGGCGCCGCUCGUCGUGCUCGACUGCUGGUUUCCUUAACUCAACAAUUUCAUGGGAAUGGGAAGGGAAAUAAGAAAGUUAAAGCAAUAAAGUUGUGAAGGGAAAUAAGCAAUGUGAUCACGUGAACCUGACAAAAGGUAAAAGUUCAGGAAAUAGAUUAUCAAAAGCAAUGAGAGUUUUGUCUGGUAGUGGCUUGGCUUGUAAUAGAUUGAAUACUUUAUUAAAAAAAAAAAAUCUCCUUGUUGUGAGAAACGACGAAGAGGAGAAACCCACCUAAUCCGGCCGCGGCAAAGAGGUUGGGACGUGCAGGUGGAGGUUUAGUUCAGAGAAGGCGUCGGCUAGAGGAUCGAGUGGUUUAACGGCUCGGAGCAGCUGUGGUCAAGCGGUUUGACUUGCUUGGAGCUGAUCGGAGGAGGUAUUUGAGAGCUGGAACUAGCACAGAAGUUUGAAGGCGUUGCUAUGUGUAAAAAAAAAAACUUCCGUUCCUUCUGCUCUCUUUUAACGACAAAGCCGCGCCU